Meleagris gallopavo (turkey) is the source of this 549-nucleotide non-coding RNA. NCBI's taxonomy places the organism in Eukaryota, Metazoa, Chordata, Aves, Galliformes, Phasianidae. The record is from RefSeq and is a predicted model, not a curated record.
UCCGGUUGUUCUUUGCGCGGGUUCCGGAAGUCGUUCAAGGGCACUUCCGGGCGGCUGAGGCAGCAGUGGGGUGAACUUGAGCGGCUGGCUGCGAGCUGCGAAUCUCAGCGUGCACUCCGGUGGGGCCCUGAGGACAGACGCAAUUCCGUUGGAGUUUUGCUUUCUCAGCUCCAUCCCUGGAGGCUUUGGAUGAUGUCUGUGCAUUCCCAGUGUCAUCCCACCGUCGUUUGUGCCCAAUCUGGGUGAAAAAUGGGGUGAAGUGCUGUGAGGAAGGGCAAAGCAGGGGGAAAGGUGAUGGACGACUUUGCAGAGAGAGGAGGCUGACCCCAAGGAACAAGAAAACACGACCUCUGCUGUAGUUCUGAGUGCCCAGAAAUGCAGACACAGCCUCUCUCCAUUGCCCACUUUCAAUGGGGCAAAGUGAAUAUCAGGGCUCAUUGUUCCCCUCCGGCCUCCUGCGUGGCAAAUGAGCAACAGCAGAGCUCCAGUGGCUCCAAUACAGUGAUUGGGGUCAUGGCUGCUGUGUGAAUAAAGGGCUGUGAGCUGUCA